RNAcentral lists this ribosomal RNA (2090 nucleotides) under Ligilactobacillus salivarius. RNAcentral describes it as "partial 23S ribosomal RNA". It matches the Rfam family "Bacterial large subunit ribosomal RNA", at positions 1 to 2096 of the family's 2925-position model. The record is from RNAcentral. Lineage: Bacteria; Bacillati; Bacillota; Bacilli; Lactobacillales; Lactobacillaceae.
UUAGGUUAAGUUAUUAAGGGCGUAUGGUGGAUGCCUUGGCACUAGGAGCCGAUGAAGGACGUGACUAACUGCGAUAUGCUUCGGGGAGUUGUAAGUAAACUAUGAUCCGGAGAUUUCCGAAUGGGGAAACCUAACAGGUUUUACCGCCUGUUAUCACUAAGUGAAUUCAUAGCUUAGUUGAAGGUAGACGUGGGGAACUGAAACAUCUAAGUACCCACAGGAAGAGAAAGAAAUUCGAUUCCCUCAGUAGCGGCGAGCGAACCGGGAAGAGCCCAAACUAAGAAGCUUGCUUCUUAGGGUUGUAGGACUGAACAUUUGAGUUACCAAGAAAUGAAGUAGUUGAAUAAUCUGGGAAGAUUAGCCAAAGAGAGUGAUAGCCUCGUAAGCGAAACUUCGUUUCCUCAGUUCAGGAUCCUGAGUACGGCGGAACACGUGAAACUCCGUCGGAAUCCGGGAGGACCAUCUCCCAAGGCUAAAUACUACCUAGUGACCGAUAGUGAACCAGUACCGUGAGGGAAAGGUGAAAAGCACCCCGGGAGGGGAGUGAAAUAGUUCCUGAAACCAUAUGCCUACAAGUAGUCAGAGCUCGUUAAUGAGUGAUGGCGUGCCUUUUGUAGAAUGAACCGGCGAGUUACGUUAGCGUGCGAGGUUAAGGAGGAAAGUCCGGAGCCGUAGCGAAAGCGAGUCUGAAUAGGGCGAGAUAGUACGUUGACGUAGACCCGAAACCAGGUGACCUACCCAUGCCCAGGUUGAAGGUGCGGUAAAACGCACUGGAGGACCGAACCCGUGUAUGUUGAAAAAUGCUGGGAUGAGGUGUGGGUAGAGGUGAAAUUCCAAACGAACUUGGAGAUAGCUGGUUCUCUCCGAAAUAGCUUUAGGGCUAGCCUCGGAGUUAAGAAUCGUGGAGGUAGAGCACUGUUUGGACUAGGGGCCCGUCUUGGGUUACUGAAUUCAGAUAAACUCCGAAUGCCACAGAUUUAUAUCCGGGAGUCAGACUGCGAGUGAUAAGAUCCGUAGUCGAAAGGGAAACAGCCCAGACCACCGAUUAAGGUCCCAAAAUAUGUGUUAAGUGGAAAAGGAUGUGGAAUUGCAUAGACAACUAGGAUGUUGGCUUAGAAGCAGCCACCAUUUAAAGAGUGCGUAAUAGCUCACUAGUCGAGUGAUCCUGCGCCGAAAAUGUAACGGGGCUAAACACAUUACCGAAAUUGUGGAUGUACCUUAGGGUACAUGGUAGGAGAGCGUUCUAAGGACGGCGAAGCUAGACCGUAAGGACUGGUGGAGUGCUUAGAAGUGAGAAUGCCGGUAUGAGUAGCGAAAGAUCAGUGAGAAUCUGGUCCACCGUAUGACUAAGGUUUCCUGGGGAAGGCUCGGCCUCCCAGGGUUAGUCGGGACCUAGGCCGAGGCCGGGAGGCGUAGGCGAUGGAUAACAGGUUGAGAUUCCUGUACUGGUUAAACUUGUUUGAACAAUGGAGGGACGCAGGAGGCUAUCGAUGCGUACUGUUGGAUAUGUACGUUCAAGCAACAAGUCUGUAGAUGAGUCAAAUGCUUAUCUACUUAAGGACAAGUUGUGAUGAGGAGCGAAAUUUAGUAGCGAAGUGAGAGACGUCACACUGCCAAGAAAAGCUUCUAGUUAGAGUUUAAUCACCCGUACCGCAAACCGACACAGGUAGUCGAGGCGAGUAGCCUAAGGUGAGCGAGAGAACUCUCGUUAAGGAACUCGGCAAAAUGACCCCGUAACUUCGGGAGAAGGGGUGCUGAGCGCAAGCUCAGCCGCAGUGAAUAGGCCCAGGCGACUGUUUAUCAAAAACACAGGUUUCUGCAAAAUCGUAAGAUGAAGUAUAGGGGCUGACGCCUGCCCGGUGCUGGAAGGUUAAGAGGAUGGGUUAGCGUAAGCGAAGCUCAGAAUUGAAGCCCCAGUAAACGGCGGCCGUAACUAUAACGGUCCUAAGGUAGCGAAAUUCCUUGUCGGGUAAGUUCCGCCCCGCACGAAAGGCGUAACGAUCUGGGCACUAUCUCAACGAGAGACUCGGUGAAACUAUAAUACCCGUGAAGAUGCGGGUUACCCGCGACAGGACGGAAAGACCCCAUGG